AGGACUAACGCUGGCGGCGUGCCUAACACAUGCAAGUCGAACGAGGGGUAGCAAUACCCCUAGUGGCAGACGGGUGAGUAACACGUAGUCAACCUACCUCUUAAUGGGGGAUAACUAGCCGAAAGGUUAGCUAAUACCGCAUACGAUCGUCGAGUGGCAUCACACGACGAUGAAAGGAGCAAUCCGUUGAGAGAGGGGACUGCGUCCCAUUAGUUAGUUGGUGGGGUAAUGGCCUACCAAGACUCCGAUGGGUAGCUGGCUUGAGAGAGCGACCAGCCACACUGGAACUGAGACACGGUCCAGACUCCUACGGGAGGCAGCAGUGAGGAAUUUUCCGCAAUGGGGGAAACCCUGACGGAGCGACGCCGCGUGUGGGAAGAAGGCCUUCGGGUCGUAACCACUGUCGAGGGGGACGAUAUUGACGGUACCCCUGGAGGAAGCCCCGGCUAACUACGCGCCAGCAGCCGC
Molecule: ribosomal RNA, 468 nt
Filed under: uncultured bacterium
Lineage: Bacteria
Description: SSU rRNA
Rfam family: Bacterial small subunit ribosomal RNA
Source: RNAcentral